RNAcentral lists this long non-coding RNA (7759 nucleotides) under Solanum tuberosum (potato). RNAcentral describes it as "long non-coding RNA (STUB_LNC003243)". The record is from RNAcentral. Lineage: Eukaryota; Viridiplantae; Streptophyta; Magnoliopsida; Solanales; Solanaceae.
UCCUUCCAUCUUUAGAGUUGCUAACAAAAGCUCAUUCCAAGUAUCAACAGGUCCUGGCAUACACCAAUGCACACAAUCAGGUAUUUGCUUUUCAUUUGGCCAAUGUCCAUAAUGAUUUGGAUGUCCAUCUGGUCUCAUUACCAUUGCUUCAGUUGUAUCAAGCAAUUUGAAUUUGACACUGCCCCUUUUUCUACCUUCCCUUUCUGCUGCCUUAAAUUCCUCCAAUUGAGUCAUAUACAUCUUCAAUUCGUAACCGUCCAAUUUCAUUUCUUCCUUCUUGAAGGGACCUGUUCUAUUGCAAUUCCCUCCAUUAUUCCAUUCCCCAUUCUCAAAAUGUGAAGGGGAGUAUGGCCUUAGCAUUACCAAUCGACCCUUCAAUUUCUUCAGGCUUAAAAAGGUCUUGAAAGCUGUACGAAACGCCAUUCUGUAUCCAUAAAAAUGGCUCUGUUUUGUAACAUUUUUAUCAUUGCAUAGGUAACAUCCAAUGAGCUGAUCAUUUUCGUAGUACAAAAAUGGCCUAAAGAACCAUUGGCCUCCAGAGAUUAUGACAAUUUCAGCUUUGUCAACCUGACUUGCCCAGGCAUCAUCGGCCUUGUCGAGAUACAGAUUCAUGAGAGUGUAACUAGGAUCAGUUUCAUGGGAUUUGAUCAACAGUGGAGACCACAGGGCCAUGAUUGUAAAGUUGUAAUCUUUAUACAACCAUCGCCUGAAUCUUGUGUCCGGAGUCUCCGAUACGUCUACAGGAAUGACCGCCUGCGAUAUAAACAUGAUAUAUUAUUGAUUAGCAACAAUGUAGGAAGCUGGAUAUUACAACUAUGAUUAUGCCAAUUCUCUCAUCUGAAUUAUGUCAUUUAGCAUUUCUAAAUGAGUAACAUCUUAUCAUAUUUCACUUGCAUAAGCAUCAAAUCGUCAUUUAGAAUGUAGGAUGCAUCGUGGACCGAGCUGCCCUUUGUAUAAAUUAGUACGUAAUAACUAUCAUAGAGAUUUACAUUUGAGUAACGAAAUUUUUAUGAGUAGCAGAAAACAUAGCAAAAUGGGAUGGAAGCACGAAAAUUGAAUGCUUACGUACACUAGAUAGAAGGCACACGAGGGACUGCAUUUGGUUUCUUGCUACUGAAUCUCCAACAAAAGCCAAAGUCUUUCCACGAACAAUUUCCAAAAAUUGAUUAGCAUCAAAUAGUGGAAGUUCACAAUCAUUUGGCUUCCAUCUCCAAUGUAAGAAAUCACUAUCCGGUCUUCCAUAUUUCAUACAAUUCUGUCGAUCAUCGAUCACACAGUUUGUCUCAUUUGUAUAGUAUGGUCCCUUUGGAUUUGGCACCCAUUUUCCCACAAAGAUGUUACAUAAUUGCUGUUUCUCCCCUGUUUUCUCUGAAUUGUUGGUAAUUCCUGGAGACAGUAAUUGGGUAAUGGCCUUAUGAUUAAUAGGGAGUGGUUCAAUAUUUUGUAGCAAAGAAUAAGUGUUAGUAUCAAAUGAAAAGAAAGUGAUUUUGAGUAAGAGAAGUAACGUUAAGAUUGGUAAAACAAUUUUUCUAAAGCUCUUAAACAGCUCUGCUGGACCACUCUUCAUCUGCAACUGAUGUUUUAAAGAUCAAAAUUACUUGUCAAGUUAUAUAAGUACUACAGUACUACUAGUGGCCAUGAAACAUAUUAUGUGAGUUAUAUAUAAUAUAUGUUUGGUUUUAUGGACUAAUUGUAAUUAAUUAACAGCAUAGUAUAUGUACAUUGUACACUAAGAGUUGUACAUGAUUUGAACUAUGUAUUCUAAUAUACACUUCAAUUUUGCUAUUUAGAGCUAUUUUCACAACAAGGGUUAUAUCAGCUCUAAAUGACAAAGUUGACGGGUAUAUCCUGUCUUUUCUAUAAAAUUUUGCCUUUUCUAAAUGACCCAACCUAUUCCAUAACCCAAAUUUGAUGGGUAAUAAUCUUAUACUUCUUUUAUUUUCUAUUUCUAGUUGAAUAACUACAAUUUUUUAUGGGUAACACAUAUGUGGUUCUUGUGUUAGCAAGGACAAAUGUUGUAAUUUUUGUGUUAAAAAAAGCAUAGUUAAGUAACUUAAAUGGAAAAAAAACUCAUAAUUACGUUACCAUCUAUGAAAUUUACUCUUAGAAUGAAACAAUACCUACUGUUAACUUUAAAAGAGAAGGUGGAUAUAUAGAGAAUCUGAAAGGUCGUCUAUUUCUAGUUGACUUAUAAUUAGAAGAAGCUUUAUAUAUGAGUAAUUCAGAACGUGAUAUCUUAAUUCGUGUAAUAUACUUUACUUUCUUUUCUUCUUUGAAGUUGUCAACAACCGCUGGCAAAUUUUAGUUACCAAUAAUGAGACAAAAAGAACUAUGAAUUGUGGUGUAGUGAUGAGAUUGUUCACCUUUAAUAUGAGGUCUCAUAUUCGAGCCCUGGUCCCCUGGUUGCGCCACCCCCUUAAUUAAGCCCUGCAGUGCGCAAUCCAGAUUUCCAAAAACCGAGUGGGAACCAGGAAAAAAACGAGACAAAAAGAGAGAGGAAACCGGUUAAUUGCUUAAUUUCUAGUGUAAUUAAAGUUUGAAUCAUGAAUAGUAUAAUGAAAACGUUACACAAGUGGUACGGAAGGACAUGAAAUAUGACUACUUGACAUUCAUUAACUAAUUAACAAUCAGUCAACUGGAUCCAUUCAACUGAAUAAGACAAAAUAUAAAUAACGUUACUAAUUAUUAACAGAGAUUUGGUAGACCUUGAGGUGCUCAAGUCAAUUUCUAUUAAUUACGCAUGCAGAAUGUAAUAUUUCAUUCCAAAUUGAUACUUCAAUUGCUUAAAACAUGAUGUUUGAAGCUGUGCCUGCGCGUCUUUAGCGUAGAGUUCAUGUGUGCAAAAGGCUGACGGGAAAGAACUAGACUUUAAUGGUUUGGUUGUUAUCAGUUUUGGUUUGAUUGUUCAAUUAUUGACCAUAUAUCAAAGUAAAAGAAAUGAUCCAUUCAAAGGGGAAAAGAAGGCAACAAUUCAUUCAAAGCAUUGUUGUUGAUCUAUGAAAAUAUUACUAUUUAUCUUCAUGCAAUAUUACUAUUUAAACAAAUUCAAUUAGUACUAAAGUGAAGAAGGUGCUAUGAAAAUAUAUACUUAUUAAGUUAUAAGCAUCACAUAGUCCAAGCAAAUUAGUGUUGAUCUUUUUUUAAUUAUUUAUCAAUGAAUGCAUAUCAUUCUUAACUUCACACUCCGAUCCCAAAAGAGAUGCGCAUUUAUCGUUAUUUUUAUUUUCGAUUAAGAUUGAACUCAUGGGGAAAGGGAGGAAUUGAAAAUUGUUUCUAUUGCUCUUGCAUUUGAUCAAAUGCGUUAAUAUAUGAAGUACUAAGAUUUCGUUUAUGGCUACACAUAACGUGUUAGUGCAUGUCUACUUCUUUGGUUGAUCUAUAGAACCAUAGUAACUUAAUCCUCAAUAUUUUAUUUUAUUUUAUUUUCAUUUUUGUGUUUAGAGCUUUAUGUCUUUCGUUACGAUUGUAUUUACCAAAUUAUAUAUUUCAUAAAUUUUAAAUAUCUUUAUAAUCGCACGAAACACGAACAAAUUAACUACUCCCUCUCUGUUCAUUUUAGCUAGGCUGAGAAUAGGAUUUUCGACAUUGAACUUCAAAAGAAAGGAGGAGAAGAUGAUUUCAUUAAGGCAGUAGAUUAUUCUGAUUGGAUUUCGAACAUCGUCCCCAUGCCCCUCCCUUACAUCCCUCAUUUCAAAGGGAACCUCAAAGUGGCUCUAUUUCAUUAUAUUCCAAUUAGUUGUCAUGUUGUGCUUUUUGAAAGUCAAUUUUACUAAUUUUCAAAAUUAAAUUUGAUUACACUGAUUUGAUAUUUUAAACAAAAAUUUAGAUAUUCAAAAACUAUACGAAAAGUACAAUUUUUGCAUAUCAAUGUGAUGAAAAAAUACAUCGUAAAAUGUUAGUCAAAGUCCUUAUCAUUUGAUUCUAAAAAGGAGAAUUUUAACGGUUAAUGUGAAAGGUGGAAGUAGUUUGAAAAUAAUAAAUGAGAACUUUGCUACAUGCUGAAGCUAGAAGGAAGGAGAGUUUGAUUGCAAAUAAAGAUAAGUGUAGUCAAUAGAUAUCCCUAGCCUCUAGGCGUAAGCUAACGUUGGCAUAAGUUUAAUAGGAAUUAAGCUAUGUAACUUGUUAUUUAAAAAAAAUAUAAUUUAUGUUAUAUUAUUAUAUAAAAAUACAAAUUUAUGUUGAGUAAAAAUUAUUUGUUAUUUUGAUGUCAAAGAUAUUUCUGUCACAUAUUAUCACUUGAAGUGCUUACGAAAAACAAAUUAAAAACCACAAAAUUCGAGGUUAAAAAUUAAAGGAAAAAUUACAAAAAUCUCACAUUUUAGUUUACUUAUUACCAUUAUCCCCUAUAAAUUUUAUAAAUCUCCAAAAUCCCUCAUUUUUGCGCAUCAAAUUAGUGUAUCUCGCGCAUCAGAUUAAUGUAUCAGCGCUUAUAUUAUUGUAUCUCGCGCAUCAGAUUAGUGUAUCAUGUAUAAAAUGUACAUCAGAUUAGUGUAUCAUGUAUAAAAUGUAAUGUAUCAUACUUAACGAUUAAUGUAUCUCGCGCAUCAAAUUAAUGUAUCAGCGCUUAUAUUAUUGUAUUCGUUUGAGGGAUUUAUGUAAUUAUAAAUUUUUAAAGGAUAGAUUGUAAUUUUCCCUUAAAAGUAUGUAAUUUCUUUAAUUUGCCCAAAAUCGCUCAAAAUAAAGGCCGCCUUGGACAUCCUUUGAUUAAAGACAAACUUGGUUGGGCUAAAAAUCUAGUCCAUAACAAAGGGAGCAAAUUGCGUUUAUCUCUGGCAAAAUUACACAAAUACUACUUUUUAAAAAGGUAUAAAUAUUUUUAUUUAUUCUAGUUUUAAAACUUACAUUGUGUACAACUUUUCAUAUUCCUAAAAUAUCUCUAUAUAAAUGCAUUAAAACUUGGCUUCCUUUUUGACAUUCACAUAUUUAUUUUCAUUUUUUCUCACUUUUCCAUGAAAUUGAAAAAAUAACUCAAUGUAAAUUUUAAUUUGAUAUAUAGUAUACGAUGUAUAAAUUAUUUAUGAACAACGUAUUAUGCUUCUUCAAUAUACCUAAUACACGAAUACAAUAAUAUAUGUUCAAAUAUGAAUAAAUAUAAAUAACAUAUAGAAUACUUUUUGUGUAACAUACAAACAAAAUUAUAUUAUAUACUCUAGUAUAUACUAGUUAAUAUAUAUAAAAACUAAUAAUAUUAAAUAUGGUAUAAAAUAAUGCAAUAUACGUAAUAUAUAAGUACAAUAAUAUAUAAACUUCUUUAAAGAAAUUGUAUAAUAUAUACUACCAUAUGGAUAUGAGUGAUAGAUGAAUAUGUCUGAGUUCUCUUGGAAAAGUAAUUACUCCCUCCAUCCAACAAUAGUUAUCCACUAUACUAUUUUGGGAUAUCCAAUAAUACUUGUCCAUUUUAUGAAAUUAUGAAUAAUUUUACACUUAAUUUCUAAUUUACCCUUAUUAUCAGUUAUAGUUAUUUCUCUAUUACAUUUUUCAUGACAUUGUAUUUAUUAUUAUACUCAAAGUGUGAUAUAGUAAAUUAUUCUUCUAUUUAUAAUUUUUUAAGAAAUAUGCAAAGUCUAAUAUACAAGUAUUGUUGGACAAGUCAAUAAUUUUGUUAACAAUAAUAUAGGAAACUCCAAUUUUAGCUUUUUAUACCUAGAAACAUUUCUUGAUUUAUGGUAAAAAUCCUAUAUACCAUAUAUAUAUAUAUAUAUAUAAAGUAUUCAUGGUAGAUUAUAUAAUUUAAUGAAGGGAUUAUUAAUGGUAGAUUAUGAAAUAUUUUAUGUGACAACCCUUAUGGAACAACUAUUUGGUCGGUGCGAUUUAAUUUAUAUUCACUUUUUCAAAUUAUUUAACUAAUUCUCCGUCUGUCCCUAAUUACUUGUCCACUUUUGAAUUGACACACCUAUAGAAAAUAGUUUAUAUAUACCCUUCGUUAUACUUUUGGUCCAAAUAUACCCCUCCUAUUAUACUUUGGGCCAAAUAUAUCCUUUAUCCGUUAAAUAUGUGGGUCCCAACCUUAGAAUAAACAUGUGAAAUGUUGGGAUUAAUUUUAAAAACUCAGAUAAUUUUUUUCCAAUUAAUACCCAAAAUACGUAAUUACUUAAAUGGUUGAGAUUAAUUAGAUGGACCCAAAUAAUUUAUGUCCCUGCCAACAACAAAAAUAACCCAUAGCCCAACUCCAAUAAAGCUUCAAAUCUCAACAAUGGAGUAAUGUAAAAGUUGUUUUCUUCAAAUCAGUUUGUAUCACUUCAAUAAUAAUUGUAUUCACUUAACUUGAUGAUUCUCAACAUCCAAACACACAUAAUACUUCAAAAAUCUCAAUAACUUAAUCGAUGAGUCACCAACAAAGAAUUAUUGAAGAACUUUGAUUUUUCAAUCUCUAUUUUUGAAUUCAAAGAACCCAAAAAUUAAAUUCAACUUAAUCGUAGUAGACUAGAAAAUCUCAGCUCAAAGUAACAAUAACCUAAAUAAUUUUUCAGUACUCGAUUGAUUUACAACAACUUUCAAUCACAAACUUUAAAAGUUUAUCGGCCACAAAUUCAAAAGACAAAAAUCCAACAACUUUGUUUUCAACUUCUCCACCUAAUGUGCAUUCUAAUUUUAGCACAUCUAUCGAAAUCAAUGGAGUUUUCAAGCACCACCUUAAUUGAACUUUCAAAAAUUUCAGAAUUGAACUCGGAUAAUAAACUCAACAAGAACAGUAGAACACACAGAUUUUUUUUAAAUGCUUUGUAUCUCAGAAAAAAAAAAUAGGAACAAUAGUUAUAAAAAUGAGCUUUCAUGUAUCAGUUGAAGCUAAUCAGUUGACAAUUUUUUUUUACAAACAUUUCGUUUUGGUUUUGUUUGACUUAUAGAGGAUUUGGCAAAGAAAGUAUUUUAGUGAGUUAUUUUGGGUGUUAACCGGAUAAAAAUGAUUUGGGUUUUUAAAAUUAAUUCCAACAUUUCUCACGUUUAUUCUAAGGUUUGGACCCACAUAUUUAACGGAUAAAGGAUAUAUUUGGUCCAAAGUAUAACGGGAGGGGUAUAUUUGGCCCAAAAGUAUAAGGAAGGGUAUAUUUAAACUAUUUCCUAUAGUACAGGGGUAUAUUUGACCCUUUUCCGUUAAGAAAACAAUGAUUGACAUAGUGAGUUUACCAUUAUACCCAUAUUAAUUAUGAAGUGGAUGAAUUAAAAACUAAAUAUUUUCAAGAAGUUCUACCUUUUUCAAAGUAAUUAAUUGAGGGUAUAAUAGGUAAAAAAAUUGUGAUUUGUCAAAAUGGACAAGUAAUUAGGGACAACUAAAAAAGGAAAAAUGGACAAGUAAUUAGAGAUAAAGGGAGUAUUCAAUAUCAAGGGAUUUGGCCUGAGAAUAUCUGAAUUAUAUAUCUUAAGUACUAACAUAGUGCAGAAUUUCAAAUUGUGAAGCUUUGAUUACUUAAAUAAAUAUUGAUAUAAAACUUCUUUACAAAUAACUUAUACCCUUUUUCCUAAAACAAAUUACACAAAACAUUUGAAAAAGUUAUUAUACGGUUGUUACCAAAUUCUAAGUAUAAUUCUGUUUCUAUCUCUGAAUAAAUUCAUCUCCUUCCAUCUUUAAAGUUGCUAACAAAAGCUCAUUCCAAGUAUCAACAGGGCCUGGCAUACACCAAUGCACACAAUCAGGCAAUUUCUUUUCAUGUGGCCAAUGUCCAUAAUGAUUUGGAUGUCCAUCUGGUCUCAUUACCAUUGCUUCAGUUGUAUCAAGCAAUUUGAACUUGACACUACCCCUUUUUCUACCUUCCUUUUCUGC